CGGCUCCCAAGGCGACGACGGGUAGCCGGCCUGAGAGGGCGACCGGCCACACUGGGACUGAGACACGGCCCAGACUCCUACGGGAGGCAGCAGUGGGGAAUAUUGCACAAUGGGCGAAAGCCUGAUGCAGCGACGCCGCGUGAGGGAUGACGGCCUUCGGGUUGUAAACCUCUUUCAGCAGGGAAGAAGCGAAAGUGACGGUACCUGCAGAAGAAGCGCCGGCUAACUACGUGCCAGCAGCCGCGGCCGA
This 250-nucleotide ribosomal RNA is filed under the name Streptomyces sp. 'ST-1 Sivasamy BU'. Its description in RNAcentral is "partial 16S ribosomal RNA". It matches the Rfam family "Bacterial small subunit ribosomal RNA", at positions 262 to 524 of the family's 1533-position model. Lineage: Bacteria; Bacillati; Actinomycetota; Actinomycetes; Kitasatosporales; Streptomycetaceae. The record is from RNAcentral.